CGGAUUCCAUAAUGUAAGAGUAGGAGUCAACUCGUAUCUGAAUUUGAACGUAUGGCUCGAAGAAAGUUGAGGUGUUGAAGUUCCAUCUGUAAGAAAGGAAUACAAGAUUCCAGGGGAGACUUUGAUACGCCUCAAUGUUCGAACGGAUAUCAUUUUUUCUUUCACGACAUUGAUGAAUGGCUAUUUCCCACGACGGAAGAAAGGACCUGCAAUACUACUAACUUCAAGUCAUUCUUUUGAUUUAUAAAAAAAGUCAUUCUUUUGAAGCGUCGGAGUUCAAAAAUUUUAAAAAGUAUCGCUGGAAUCCCAGCAAUAGUUUUCGAGGCUUGCAGGUUUAGCUAAGUCAUAAAGAAAUAACAAUCGACGACAAAAAAAGGGAUGAGAAAUAGACUUACUUGGAGAAGCUACUCAUAGAAGAUAGGACGCGGCGGCGGAGGCGGGGCUUUAUUGUGGCCGGACGGCGGAAGAAAUUGAGAAAGAUUACAGGCAGCUGCCUCUCUUCUUUU
RNAcentral lists this long non-coding RNA (506 nucleotides) under Linum usitatissimum (flax). RNAcentral describes it as "long non-coding RNA (LUSI_LNC004972)". Lineage: Eukaryota; Viridiplantae; Streptophyta; Magnoliopsida; Malpighiales; Linaceae. The record is from RNAcentral.